RNAcentral lists this long non-coding RNA (1362 nucleotides) under Homo sapiens (human). RNAcentral's name for it is "HSALNT0260140". The record is from RNAcentral. Lineage: Eukaryota; Metazoa; Chordata; Mammalia; Primates; Hominidae.
GCAGUUUUGUUGAAAGCCAGACAUGAUAUUCUGGGUAAAAGGAACUUGGGUGAGCAGGUGUUCAGUGACGCUGUGCUCGUGUCCUUGGUCUCUUGCCUCGGCGCCUGGGUGACCUGCCGCCCACAAACCAGGACCAGGGAGACCUGAAAACCUUCCCACAGACCAAAAUCUCCCCCUCUGAGAUGUGGAUGCCCAAGAAAAAGGAAAGAGAACUUAGGACUGGUCUCAGGCCUGCAGAUGUCUAAUAAUAACGCCAGCCGUCCCCUGGUGGAGAAGAGGCAGCUGUGGCUGCAGAGAGACCUCGUGUGACUCUAAUCUGACACCUUUGACUUGUGUGACCCUAGUCGGUGACUGUCUCCCUGUUCCUCAAUUUUUUUUUUCAAUAAGUAGGAUAAGUGCUAUUUGGCUGUGACGUUGUUUGUGAAUUAAUCUCAAAAUAUUUACAAUUACUUGACCUCAGCUGUGUAUAGAGGAGCUGCCCAAAGGAACAGCAUCUAUGCUUAUUUGCCUCCAAAAGAGAGGUCCCUGAGUCUGAUCCCUUGUGGAAAAGGAGCUGCUGGGAGCAUCUUCUCUCUUCUUUUUCCUCCCCCUGGGGAUACUGAACUUCCCAUGGAGUCAUCUAAGUUCCCCUGGGCAGUGGGCUCAUGCCCUAGUAAUCUUGUCCAUCUGUUCACUCCAUGCUGAGUCUCAGGUAAAGGAUGAGGCCCUGUCCUUGCCCAGGAGAGGUUCUUGGGGCUGGACCCUGGCUGGUGACCAACUCCAGGAGCCACGACCCUCAGACAGCUGGUAAAUUCUUGCUCCCAGUCAGCCCUGCCCAGGAGGCCUCACUCAGCCCUGGCACAGGAUCCCUAGGGUCCCCAGGGUCACCUGGAGUCAGGAAUCUGGGACAGGGAUUUGCACAGGGGCUCAGUUCUGGGAAGAGUUGAGCUUCUCUCUGAGAAUCCUAGGGGGACCCCUCAGGCCAGGCCCUGAUCCAGUUCUCCAGGGUCUUUCUUAGGGUCAGGUCCAUGGGGAGACCAUGGGGUUCUUUUCUGACACUGACCUUGCCCUGCUGAGUCCCCCCAUCAGACUGUCCUUCCUCUGCAGCGAGUGUCUGCAGGGUCUGGAUGCAGGAAAGGAAUUCUGAUCUGUGGAAGUUUGUCUCCCCCGUGUGUGUCCUGCACUAAAUGUCCAAACCCUGAUACAGAAUGUAAUGCAGAGAGGGCCACAGGCACAGCCCAGGCCUGACAAUCCCAUAUGUGGGAAGUAGAACUGACCCCCAACACCCAGAGGUCAUGUGGAAAUACUCACGGUAUACAUGGAACUGUCCAGUUGCUUCUUCAUUCACAAGAUCUGACUUUAUGACUUGUAGGGUGUAGAAUC